This 389-nucleotide ribosomal RNA is filed under the name Syndiniales sp. RNAcentral describes it as "partial small subunit ribosomal RNA". It matches the Rfam family "Eukaryotic small subunit ribosomal RNA", at positions 582 to 975 of the family's 1831-position model. Lineage: Eukaryota; Dinophyceae; Syndiniales. The record is from RNAcentral.
AUUCCAGCUCCAAUAGCGUAUAUUAAAGUUGUUGCGGUUAAAAAGCUCGUAGUUGGAGUUCUGCCAGGUGGCGCUCGUCCGCCCAAGUGGUGUGUACAGGGCGUGCAUCUGGCCCUUUCAAGGGGAACGUGUCUGCACUUCAUUGUGUGGUGCGAGAUCCUUGACUUUUACUUUGAGGAAAUAAGAGUGUUCCAAGCAGGCUCUCGUCGUGCAUAGCUCAGCAUGGAAUAAUAGCAUUGGACUUCGUUUCUACUCUGUUGGUUGCAAGAAGCGAGGUAAUGAUGAAGUGGGACAGUUGGGGGCAUUAGUAUUUAAUUGUCAGAGGUGAAAUUCUUGGAUUUAUGAAAGACUAACUACUGCGAAAGCAUUUGCCAAGGAUGUUUUCAUUG